GAUGAACGCUGGCGGCGUGCCUAAUACAUGCAAGUCGAGCGAACAGACGAGGAGCUUGCUCCUCUGACGUUAGCGGCGGACGGGUGAGUAACACGUGGAUAACCUACCUAUAAGACUGGGAUAACUUCGGGAAACCGGAGCUAAUACCGGAUAACAUGUUGAACCGCAUGGUUUAACAGUGAAAGACGGUCUUGCUGUCACUUAUAGACGGAUCCGCGCCGCAUUAGCUAGUUGGUAAGGUAACGGCUUACCAAGGCAACGAUGCGUAGCCGACCUGAGAGGGUGAUCGGCCACACUGGAACUGAGACACGGUCCAGACUCCUACGGGAGGCAGCAGUAGGGAAUCUUCCGCAAUGGGCGAAAGCCUGACGGAGCAACGCCGCGUGAGUGAAGAAGGUCUUCGGAUCGUAAAACUCUGUUAUUAGGGAAGAACAAAUGUGUAAGUAACUAUGCACGUCUUGACGGUACCUAAUCAGAAAGCCACGGCUAACUACGUG
RNAcentral lists this ribosomal RNA (497 nucleotides) under uncultured bacterium. Its description in RNAcentral is "partial 16S ribosomal RNA". It matches the Rfam family "Bacterial small subunit ribosomal RNA", at positions 28 to 507 of the family's 1533-position model. The record is from RNAcentral.